AGUCGAGCUGAGUCGAUUAAGAGCUUGCUCUUAUGAAGUUAGCGGCGGACGGGUGAGUAACACGUGGGUAACCUGCCCAUAAGACUGGGAUAACUCCGGGAAACCGGGGCUAAUACCGGAUAAUAUUUUGAACUGCAUGGUUCGAAAUUGAAAGGCGGCUUCGGCUGUCACUUAUGGAUGGACCCGCGUCGCAUUAGCUAGUUGGUGAGGUAACGGCUCACCAAGGCAACGAUGCGUAGCCGACCUGAGAGGGUGAUCGGCCACACUGGGACUGAGACACGGCCCAGACUCCUACGGGAGGCAGCAGUAGGGAAUCUUCCGCAAUGGACGAAAGUCUGACGGAGCAACGCCGCGUGAGUGAUGAAGGCUUUCGGGUCGUAAAACUCUGUUGUUAGGGAAGAACAAGUGCUAGUUGAAUAAGCUGGCACCUUGACGGUACCUAACCAGAAAGCCACGGCUAACUACGUGCCAGCAGCCGCGGUAAUACGUAGGUGGCAAGCGUUAUCCGGAAUUAUUGGGCGUAAAGCGCGCGCAGGUGGUUUCUUAAGUCUGAUGUGAAAGCCCACGGCUCAACCGUGGAGGGUCAUUGGAAACUGGGAGACUUGAGUGCAGAAGAGGAAAGUGGAAUUCCAUGUGUAGCGGUGAAAUGCGUAGAGAUAUGGAGGAACACCAGUGGCGAAGGCGACUUUCUGGUCUGUAACUGACACUGAGGCGGUCGGGGAAACCUGAAAGC
RNAcentral lists this ribosomal RNA (733 nucleotides) under Bacillus cereus. RNAcentral describes it as "bacterial SSU rRNA". It matches the Rfam family "Bacterial small subunit ribosomal RNA", at positions 60 to 776 of the family's 1533-position model. The record is from RNAcentral. Lineage: Bacteria; Bacillati; Bacillota; Bacilli; Caryophanales; Bacillaceae.